GACGAACGCUGGCGGCGUGCUUAACACAUGCAAGUCGAACGGAAAGGCCCUGCAUUUGUGGGAUGCUCGAGUGGCGAACGGGUGAGUAACACGUGAGUAACCUGCCCUUGACUUUGGGAUAACUUCAGGAAACUGGGGCUAAUACCGGAUAUGAGCUCCUGCUGCAUGGUGUGGGUUGGAAAGUUACGGCGGUUGGGCAUGGACUCGCGGCCUAUCAGCUUGUUGGUGGGGUAGUGGCUUAACAAGGCUUUGACGGGUAGCCGGCCUGAGAGGGUGACCGGCCACAUUGGGACUGAGAUACGGCCCAGACUCCUACGGGAGGCAGCAGUGGGGAAUAUUGCACAAUGGGCGGAAGCCUGAUGCAGCAACGCCGCGUGCGAGAUGACGGCCUUCGGGUUGUAAACCGCUUUCGCCUGUGACGAAGCGUGAGUGACGGUAAUGGGUAAAGAAGCACCGGCUAACUACGUG
Molecule: ribosomal RNA, 468 nt
Filed under: uncultured bacterium
Lineage: Bacteria
Description: partial 16S ribosomal RNA
Rfam family: Bacterial small subunit ribosomal RNA
Source: RNAcentral